CAUUCGCACAAACGAGAUCCACAGCACUCUGCAUCGUCUMCAGUGCGCUGUGCGCGCAAGGGCUGUCCAAUGGCCGCCCUUGCGCGCAACAGCGCAAGGGUAGCGAGGCGCAGGCGCGCGCAAGCCUCUGCUGGCUGCCCGACGUCCUGGCCUGCUGCCCUGGCUCCAUGCGACGCAUCGUGUCUCCUGGCAGUGAUGGCCGCCCGCCUGCGAGCAGCGUCCUUCUUUUUUUCGUUUCACAACUUACAGCGACAGAUGUCUUGGCUCGAACGACGAUGAAGGGUGCAGCGAAGUGCGAUAAGCAUUGUGACUUGCAGAAUUCCGUGAACCAACAGGAGUUUGAACGCAUACUGCGCUCUCGGGACAUCCCUGAGAGCAUGCCUGCUUCAGCGUCUACACAUUCUCAUUCCAGCGGCAACGCGGCCUCGGGUGCUCGCUUGCGGUUGUGAGGCUCUGGGCGUUGAAGCGCGUUUGCGCCUUCGACGCCCCGAAUCAGCAGCGUUGUGAUCGCAUGCCGCGCGCACUAGCUCACUCGCGGCGAUCGCGUGCCCCAACGCGCGCGGUGUGUGUCCUUCGCCACUCCUCGCCAUGGAGCGCCUGUGUCUACAGACAUGAAGUCAGGCCAGAAACACCCGCUGAAUUUAA
RNAcentral lists this ribosomal RNA (645 nucleotides) under Gyrodinium dorsum. RNAcentral describes it as "eukaryotic LSU rRNA". The stretch from base 241 to 395 matches the Rfam family "5.8S ribosomal RNA". Lineage: Eukaryota; Dinophyceae; Gymnodiniales; Gymnodiniaceae. The record is from RNAcentral.